Molecule: ribosomal RNA, 253 nt
Filed under: uncultured bacterium
Lineage: Bacteria
Description: partial 16S ribosomal RNA
Rfam family: Bacterial small subunit ribosomal RNA
Source: RNAcentral
UACGUAGGGGGCAAGCGUUGUCCGGAUUUAUUGGGCGUAAAGAGCGUGUAGGCGGCCAUACAGGUCAGCUGUGAAAACUCGAGGCUCAACCUCGAGACGUCGGUUGAAACCGUAUGGCUAGAGUCCGGAAGAGGAGAGUGGAAUUCCCGGUGUAGCGGUGAAAUGCGCAGAUAUCAGGAAGAACACCUAUGGCGAAGGCAGCUCUCUGGGACGGUACUGACGCUGAGACGCGAAAGCGUGGGGAGCGAACAGG